This 76-nucleotide transfer RNA is filed under the name Alphaproteobacteria bacterium. RNAcentral describes it as "tRNA-Ala". It matches the Rfam family "tRNA". From Rfam's summary of the family: Transfer RNA (tRNA) molecules are approximately 80 nucleotides in length. Their secondary structure includes four short double-helical elements and three loops (D, anti-codon, and T loops). Lineage: Bacteria; Pseudomonadati; Pseudomonadota; Alphaproteobacteria. The record is from RNAcentral. RNAcentral also lists the same sequence under 2 other names.
GGGCCUUUAGCUCAGCUGGGAGAGCGCCUGAUUUGCAUUCAGGAGGUCAGGAGUUCGAUCCUCCUAAGGUCCACCA